Molecule: non-coding RNA, 76 nt
Organism: Podarcis lilfordi (Lilford's wall lizard)
Lineage: Eukaryota; Metazoa; Chordata; Lepidosauria; Squamata; Lacertidae
Source: the annotation of a GenBank genome assembly
UUCUCAAUAGCUCAGUUGGUAAAGCAUGAGACUUUUAAUCUUAAGGUUGUGGGUUCAAGCCACAUGUUGGGCUAAA